RNAcentral lists this ribosomal RNA (491 nucleotides) under uncultured soil bacterium. RNAcentral describes it as "bacterial SSU rRNA". It matches the Rfam family "Bacterial small subunit ribosomal RNA", at positions 26 to 515 of the family's 1533-position model. The record is from RNAcentral.
AGAUUGAACGCUGGCGGCAGGCCUAACACAUGCAAGUCGAGCGGCAGCACGGGUACUUGUACCUGGUGGCGAGCGGCGGACGGGUGAGUAAUGCCUAGGAAUCUGCCUGGUAGUGGGGGAUAACGCUCGGAAACGGACGCUAAUACCGCAUACGUCCUACGGGAGAAAGCAGGGGACCUUCGGGCCUUGCGCUAUCAGAUGAGCCUAGGUCGGAUUAGCUAGUUGGUGGGGUAAUGGCUCACCAAGGCGACGAUCCGUAACUGGUCUGAGAGGAUGAUCAGUCACACUGGAACUGAGACACGGUCCAGACUCCUACGGGAGGCAGCAGUGGGGAAUAUUGGACAAUGGGCGAAAGCCUGAUCCAGCCAUGCCGCGUGUGUGAAGAAGGUCUUCGGAUUGAAAGCACUUUAAGUUGGAGGAAGGCAGUUACCUAAUACGUAUCUGUUUGACGUUACGACAGAAUAAGCACCGGCUAACUCUGUGCCAGCACG